GUGGGGAAUAUUCCGCAAUGGACGAAAGUCUGACGGAGCAACGCCGCGUGAGUGAUGAAGGUUUUCGGACUGUAAAGCUCUGUUGUUUAGGACGAAAGUGCCUGUUGCGAACAGUUACAGGUAUUGACGGUACUAAACGAGGAAGCCACGGCUAACUACGUGCCAGCAGCCGCGGUAAUACGUAGGUGGCAAGCGUUGUCCGGAAUUAUUGGGCGUAAAGAGCAUGUAGGCGGAGAUUUAAGUCUGUUGUGAAAAUGUGGGGCUCAACCCCGUAUUGCGAUGGAAACUGAAUUUCUUGAGUGCAGGAGAGGAAAGGGGAAUUCCCAGUGUAGCGGUGAAAUGCGUAGAUAUUGGGAGGAACACCAGUGGCGAAGGCGCCUUUCUGGACUGUGUCUGACGCUGAGAUGCGAAAGCCAGGGUAGCGAACGGGAUUAGAUACCCGGGUAGUCC
This 450-nucleotide ribosomal RNA is filed under the name uncultured bacterium. RNAcentral describes it as "partial 16S ribosomal RNA". It matches the Rfam family "Bacterial small subunit ribosomal RNA", at positions 354 to 796 of the family's 1533-position model. The record is from RNAcentral.